Molecule: ribosomal RNA, 495 nt
Filed under: uncultured bacterium
Lineage: Bacteria
Description: partial 16S ribosomal RNA
Rfam family: Bacterial small subunit ribosomal RNA
Source: RNAcentral
GACGAACGCUGGCGGCGUGCCUAAUACAUGCAAGUAGAACGCUGAAGGAGGAGCUUGCUUCCCUGGAUGAGUUGCGAACGGGUGAGUAACGCGUAGGUAACCUGCCUGGUAGCGGGGGAUAACUAUUGGAAACGAUAGCUAAUACCGCAUAAUAUUGACUAUUGCAUGAUAGUCAGUUGAAAGGUGCAACUGCACCACUACCAGAUGGACCUGCGUUGUAUUAGCUAGUUGGUGGGGUAACGGCUCACCAAGGCGACGAUACAUAGCCGACCUGAGAGGGUGAUCGGCCACACUGGGACUGAGACACGGCCCAGACUCCUACGGGAGGCAGCAGUAGGGAAUCUUCGGCAAUGGACGGAAGUCUGACCGAGCAACGCCGCGUGAGUGAAGAAGGUUUUCGGAUCGUAAAGCUCUGUUGUAAGAGAAGAACGAGUGUGAGAGUGGAAAGCUCACACUGUGACGGUAUCUUACCAGAAAGGGACGGCUAACUACGUG